RNAcentral lists this transfer RNA (84 nucleotides) under Clostridiales bacterium UBA8960. RNAcentral describes it as "tRNA-Leu". It matches the Rfam family "tRNA". From Rfam's summary of the family: Transfer RNA (tRNA) molecules are approximately 80 nucleotides in length. Their secondary structure includes four short double-helical elements and three loops (D, anti-codon, and T loops). The record is from RNAcentral. Lineage: Bacteria; Bacillati; Bacillota; Clostridia; Eubacteriales; Eubacteriales Family XII. Incertae Sedis.
GCGGAUGUGGUGGAACGGCAGACACGCACGCUUGAGGGGCGUGUGAGGUAACUCGUAUGGGUUCAAAUCCCAUCAUCCGCACCA